This 111-nucleotide ribosomal RNA is filed under the name uncultured bacterium. RNAcentral describes it as "partial 16S ribosomal RNA". It matches the Rfam family "Bacterial small subunit ribosomal RNA", at positions 381 to 509 of the family's 1533-position model. The record is from RNAcentral.
CCCUGAUGCAGCGACGCCGCGUGGGUGAAGAAGCGCCUCGGCGCGUAAAGCCCUGUCAGCAGGGAAGAAAAUGACGGUACCUGAAGAAGAAGCCCCGGCUAACUACGUGCC